RNAcentral lists this ribosomal RNA (440 nucleotides) under uncultured bacterium. RNAcentral describes it as "bacterial SSU rRNA". It matches the Rfam family "Bacterial small subunit ribosomal RNA", at positions 338 to 795 of the family's 1533-position model. The record is from RNAcentral.
CCUACGGGUGGCUGCAGUGGGGAAUAUUGCACAAUGGGGGAAACCCUGAUGCAGCAACGCCGCGUGAGCGAUGAAGGCCUUCGGGUCGUAAAGCUCUGUCCUAAGGGAAGAAUACUGACGGUACCUUAGGAGGAAGCCCCGGCUAACUACGUGCCAGCAGCCGCGGUAAUACGUAGGGGGCUAGCGUUAUCCGGAAUUACUGGGCGUAAAGGGUGCGUAGGCGGCCCUUCAAGUCAGAGGUUAAAGGCUACGGCUCAACCGUAGUAAGCCUUUGAAACUGUAGGGCUUGAGUGCAGGUGAGUAGAGGGGAAUUACCAGUGUAGCGGUGAAAUGCGUAGAUAUUGGCAGGAACUCUAGUUGCGAAGGCGGCUCUCUGGACUGUAUCUGACGCUGAGGCAGGAAAGCGUGGGGAACGAACAGGUUUAGAUACCCUAGUAGUC